This 78-nucleotide transfer RNA is filed under the name Chloroflexota bacterium. RNAcentral describes it as "Chloroflexi bacterium tRNA-Pro". It matches the Rfam family "tRNA". Rfam says of the family: Transfer RNA (tRNA) molecules are approximately 80 nucleotides in length. Lineage: Bacteria; Bacillati; Chloroflexota. RNAcentral also lists the same sequence under 2 other names. The record is from RNAcentral.
CGGGGCGUGGCGCAGUCCGGCUAGCGCGUUGCAAUGGGGUUGCAAAGGCCGUCGGUUCGAAUCCGACCGCCCCGACCA